AUGAUCAAAGGUCAAAAGCGCUUUGAUUCAUUUUUUUACCCCGCCACUGUAUUACCACUGCCAUCUGUGUCAUUUGUAUUAAUUAACGUCAACCAGUCAGCAACUAUGAAAAGAAAAACAAAACCAAGAAAGGUAUUUGAUAAGGAUGGAAAUGACAUCACUCCUCAACCACUGUACCCAGUGAGGCACUCAGCUGCUGCAGUUCAAUGCCACAAGUUUUCCAGGUUCCUGGAUGAGAUAUCUGUGGGAGCAGCGUCCGAGACGUCGGGAGACAGCAUCUGCUCCAUACCUUUCUCCCGGUGAGCACUGCGAAUCACUCCAUUAAUCAUGAUCCCCAUUAUAACGAUCCCCAUCCGUUUGUCUUGUUCAUUGUUCGUCAUUUACUGUAAAUCUACAAAUUGACUAAAUGUCGCAGUAUU
RNAcentral lists this long non-coding RNA (419 nucleotides) under Takifugu rubripes (torafugu). Its description in RNAcentral is "lncRNA (ENSTRUG00000030444.1)". Lineage: Eukaryota; Metazoa; Chordata; Actinopteri; Tetraodontiformes; Tetraodontidae. The record is from RNAcentral.